GCGAGCGGCGGAUGGGUGAGUAACACGUGGGGAACCUGCCCCUAAGUCUGGGAUACCAUUUGGAAACAGGUGCUAAUACCGGAUAAUAAAGCAGAUCGCAUGAUCAGCUUUUGAAAGGCGGCGUAAGCUGUCGCUAAGGGAUGGCCCCGCGGUGCAUUAGCUAGUUGGUAAGGUAACGGCUUACCAAGGCGACGAUGCAUAGCCGAGUUGAGAGACUGAUCGGCCACAUUGGGACUGAGACACGGCCCAAACUCCUACGGGAGGCAGCAGUAGGGAAUCUUCCACAAUGGACGCAAGUCUGAUGGAGCAACGCCGCGUGAGUGAAGAAGGUUUUCGGAUCGUAAAGCUCUGUUGUUGGUGAAGAAGGAUAGAGGUAGUAACUGGCCUUUAUUUGACGGUAAUCAACCAGAAAGUCACGGCUAACUACGUGCCAGCAGCCGCGGUAAUACGUAGGUGGCAAGCGUUGUCCGGAUUUAUUGGGCGUAAAGCGAGCGCAGGCGGAAAAAUAAGUCUAAUGUGAAAGCCCUCGGCUUAACCGAGGAACUGCAUCGGAAACUGUUUUUCUUGAGUGCAGAAGAGGAGAGUGGAACUCCAUGUGUAGCGGUGGAAUGCCGUAGAUAUAUGGAAGAACACC
Molecule: ribosomal RNA, 634 nt
Filed under: uncultured bacterium
Lineage: Bacteria
Description: bacterial SSU rRNA
Rfam family: Bacterial small subunit ribosomal RNA
Source: RNAcentral